UGAACGCUGGCGGUAUGCCUAACACAUGCAAGUCGUACGAGAGUUUUUAACUCAAGUGGCGGACGGGUGAGUAACACGUAAGAAUUUACCUUUAGGAGGGGGAUAAACUGGUAAUACCCCAUAUGCUUUCGAGUAAAAUGGAGUUUUCUGCCUAGAGAGAAGCUUGCGGCUGAUUAGCUUGUUGGUAAGGUAAUGGCUUACCAAGGCGACGAUCAGUAUCUGGUUUGAGAGGACGAUCAGACACACUGGAACUGAGACACGGUCCAGACUCCUACGGGAGGCAGCAGUGAGGAAUUUUCCGCAAUGGGCGAAAGCCUGACGGAGCAAUACCGCGUGAGGGAUGACGGCCUAUGGGUUGUAAACCUCUUUUUUCAGGGAGGAAUAAAUGACGUGUACCUGAAGAAUAAGCAUCGGCUAACUCC
Molecule: ribosomal RNA, 422 nt
Filed under: uncultured bacterium
Lineage: Bacteria
Description: bacterial SSU rRNA
Rfam family: Bacterial small subunit ribosomal RNA
Source: RNAcentral